GACGAACGCUGGCGGCGUGCCUAAUACAUGCAAGUAGAACGCUGAAGGAGGAGCUUGCUCUUCUGGAUGAGUUGCGAACGGGUGAGUAACGCGUAGGUAACCUGCCUGGUAGCGGGGGAUAACUAUUGGAAACGAUAGCUAAUACCGCAUAAGAGUAGAUGUUGCAUGACAUUUGCUUAAAAGGUGCAAUUGCAUCACUACCAGAUGGACCUGCGUUGUAUUAGCUAGUUGGUGGGGUAACGGCUCACCAAGGCGACGAUACAUAGCCGACCUGGGAGGGGGAUCGGCCACACUGGGACUGAGACACGGCCCAGACUCCUACGGGAGGCAGCAGUAGGGAAUCUUCGGCAAUGGACGGAAGUCUGACCGAGCAACGCCGCGUGAGUGAAGGAGGUUUUCGGAUCGUAAAGCUCUGUUGUAAGAGAAGAACGAGUGUGAGAGUGGAAAGUUCACACUGUGACGGUAUCUUACCAGAAAGGGACGGCUAACUACGUG
Molecule: ribosomal RNA, 495 nt
Filed under: uncultured bacterium
Lineage: Bacteria
Description: partial 16S ribosomal RNA
Rfam family: Bacterial small subunit ribosomal RNA
Source: RNAcentral